GAAGUAAAAGUUGUAACAAGGUCUCCGUUGGUGAACCAGCGGAGGGAUCAUUACCGAGUUUUCAACUCCCUAACCCUUCUGUGAACCUACCUAUCGUUGCUUCGGCGGACUCGCCCCAGCCCGGACGCGGACUGGACCAGCGGCCCGCCGGGGACCUCAAACUCUUGUAUUCCAGCAUCUUCUGAAUACGCCGCAAGGCAAAACAAAUGAAUCAAAACUUUCAACAACGGAUCUCUUGGCUCUGGCAUCGAUGAAGAACGCAGCGAAACGCGAUAAGUAAUGUGAAUUGCAGAAUCCAGUGAAUCAUCGAAUCUUUGAACGCACAUUGCGCCCGCCAGCAUUCUGGCGGGCAUGCCUGUUCGAGCGUCAUUUCAACCCUCGACCUCCCCUUGGGGGGGUCGGCGUUGGGGACCGGCAGCACACCGCCGGCCCUGAAAUGGAGUGGCGGCCCGUCCGCGGCGACCUCUGCGCAGUAAUACAGCUCGCACCGGAACCCCGACGCGGCCACGCCGUAAAACACCCAACUUCUGAACGUUGACCUCGAAUCAGGUAGGACUACCCGCU
RNAcentral lists this ribosomal RNA (564 nucleotides) under Beauveria bassiana. RNAcentral's name for it is "eukaryotic LSU rRNA". The stretch from base 216 to 369 matches the Rfam family "5.8S ribosomal RNA". The record is from RNAcentral. Lineage: Eukaryota; Fungi; Ascomycota; Sordariomycetes; Hypocreales; Cordycipitaceae.